This 468-nucleotide ribosomal RNA is filed under the name uncultured bacterium. Its description in RNAcentral is "partial 16S ribosomal RNA". It matches the Rfam family "Bacterial small subunit ribosomal RNA", at positions 28 to 507 of the family's 1533-position model. The record is from RNAcentral.
GACGAACGCUGGCGGCGUGCUUAACACAUGCAAGUCGAACGGAAAGGCCCUGCUUUUGUGGGGUGCUCGAGUGGCGAACGGGUGAGUAACACGUGAGUAACCUGCCCUUGACUUUGGGAUAACUUAAGGAAACUGGGGCUAAUACCGCAUAGGAGCUCCUGCUGCAUGGUGGGGGUUGGAAAGUUUCGGCGGUUGGUGAUGGACUCGCGGCUUAUCAGCUUGUUGGUGGGGUAGUGGCUUACCAAGGCUUUGACGGGUAGCAGGCCUGAGAGGGUGACCGGCCACAUUGGGACUGAAAUAAGGCCCAGCCUACUACGGGAGGGAGGAGUGGGGAAUAUUGCACAAUGGGCGGAAGCCUAAUGCAGCAAAGCCGCGUGCGGGAUGACGGCCUUCGGGUAGUAAACCGAUUUCGCCUGUGACGAAGCGUGAGUGACGGUAAUGGGUAAAGAAGCACCGGCUAACUACGUG